RNAcentral lists this long non-coding RNA (1081 nucleotides) under Salmo trutta (river trout). Its description in RNAcentral is "lncRNA (ENSSTUG00000048519.1)". Lineage: Eukaryota; Metazoa; Chordata; Actinopteri; Salmoniformes; Salmonidae. The record is from RNAcentral.
GCCCAUUGCCAACCCAAACUAUGGUAUGAGGGAGAAAAAAUUAUACUUUGUUUGGUUUGUUAUUUCCUCCUCCAGUCAGGAGGAAGGAAAAGGAGUUGCUCUGUAAAGAUAAGGGCCUCGGUUUCCUUCCAUUUUUGGUCAUCAGGGAGUGAGUGGAAAAUAUUUGCAAACGACCCCGAAGAGAGGCACACUGAUAUUCUCUCAUUCUGUUAUUUAGUCUACCCAAGGAGAGCACCACACGACUCUGAAGAUCUGUCCCAUCUCCUCUCAAUCCCUCAUUCAUUGGUCACCAGAACACACAAGGGAGCCAUUGCUGAGAAAAUGCAGUGCCAGAGAGAGAAGAUAUUCAUAUUGAUCCUCUUUGCUGCGCUCUCUCACAGGGUAAGAGUUUUGACCAAACACAUUUUUGUUUUGUAAGAUUGAAUUGAUUGUUGUGGGAAAAGUAUCCAAUUGUCAUACUUGAGUAAAAGUAUAGAUACACAACCGUUCAAAAGUUUGGGGUCACUUGGAAAUGUCCUUGUUUUCCAUGAAAACAUACAUGAAAUUAGUUGCACAAUGAAUGGGAAAUAUAGUCAAGAUGUUGACAAGGUUAUAAAUAAUGAUUUUUAAUUGAAAUAAUAAUUGUGUCCUUCAAACUUUGCUUUCGUCAAAGAAUCCUCCGUUUGCAGCAAUUAUAGCCUUGCAGACCUUCGGCAUUCUAGUUGUCAAUUUGUUGAGAUAAUCUGAAGAGAUUUCACCUCAUGCUUCCUGAAGGACCUCCCACAAGUUGGAUUGGCUUGAUGGGAACUUCUUACGUACCAUACGGUCAAGCUGCUCCCACAAUAGUUCAAUAGGGUUGAGAUCCGGUGAUUGUGCUGGCCACUCCAUUAUAGACAGAAUACCAGCUGACUGCUUCUUCCCUAAAUAGUUCUUGCAUAGUUUGGAGCUGUGCUUUGGGUCGUUGUCCUGUUGUAGGAGGAAAUUGGCUCCAAUUAAGUGCCGUCCACAGGGUAUGGCAUGGCGUUGCAAAAUAGAGUGAUAACCUUCCUUCUUCAAGAUCCCUUUUACCCUGUACAAAUCUCACACUUUACCACCACCAAAG